Mesocricetus auratus (golden hamster) is the source of this 695-nucleotide long non-coding RNA. RefSeq lists it as uncharacterized. The transcript has 3 exons. The record is from RefSeq and is a predicted model, not a curated record. Lineage: Eukaryota; Metazoa; Chordata; Mammalia; Rodentia; Cricetidae.
UGAGAACUCGGCGGAUGGACCGUUACUUGGCGGGAACGACCGAGAGUGUGGCACAGCGCUGAGCAGACCCAACAAUUCCAAGUCAGAAGCGAGAGUGAAGAAACACAGAGGACAGACAGCCAGAAGUGCUCACACAGGACACUGGCUCCUAAAGAGGGAAGAUGUUUCUCAACAACUACAAGGAGGCGCAGUAUGCUGCCACCUGGGUAAAAGGGGCAGGUCACUGGAUGGACCCUUCCCGGGUCCUUGUCAGCACCUCAGAACACUGGUGUCGUUUGCCGGGGCCCUUGCUGCGGAGGUUUCUCAUAGUUACCCACCGUGCCGACUCCUCCCUGCUCUCUGCCUCAGGUGGCGCUGUCCUGGGAGACUGGAACGUUGGAGAUCAAGAGUCCUGCUAGCAGACAUAAGCUCCGAGGGGUCCUGCUUACAGCCACAAACUGAGUCGCUUAAGCUGGCAAAGCCUUCCCAAACCUUGAGAGACCGAAAUUUACCGGCAACCAUGAGCCCAAAUCAACUGUUCCUCCCUCUGCAAUUUCCAGCGGCUGCUGUCACAGGAGUGAGAAAAGCGUCACAAUCCUCGAUCUUAGUGCCUGUGCCUCAGUUUGUAUUAAAAGUUUUUCUAAUCCCAGCGCCCAGGGAGGCCAAAGCGGGUGAAUCUCUGAGUGUUUGAAGCCAACCUUGUCUACAAAGUGAGU